Molecule: non-coding RNA, 29 nt
Filed under: Bombyx mori (domestic silkworm)
Lineage: Eukaryota; Metazoa; Arthropoda; Insecta; Lepidoptera; Bombycidae
Source: RNAcentral
CAGAAGUCAAGCAUCGCCUUCCACGACUC